GAUGAACGCUGGCGGAGUGCCUAAUACAUGCAAGUCGAGCGAACGGACGAGAAGCUUGCUUCUCUGAUGUUAGCGGCGGACGGGUGAGUAACACGUGGAUAACCUACCUAUAAGACUGGGAUAACUUCGGGAAACCGGAGCUAAUACCGGAUAAUAUUUUGAACCGCAUGGUUCAAAAGUGAAAGACGGUCUUGCUGUCACUUAUAGAUGGAUCCGCGCUGCAUUAGCUAGUUGGUAAGGUAACGGCUUACCAAGGCAACGAUGCAUAGCCGACCUGAGAGGGUGAUCGGCCACACUGGAACUGAGACACGAUCCAGACUCCUACGGGAGGCAGCAGUAGGGAAUCUUCCGCAAUGGGCGAAAGCCUGACGGAGCAACGCCGCGUGAGUGAUGAAGGUCUUCGGAUCGUAAAACUCUGUUAUUAGGGAAGAACAUAUGUGUAAGUAACUGUGCACAUCUUGACGGUACCUAAUCAGAAAGCCACGGCUAACUACGUG
This 497-nucleotide ribosomal RNA is filed under the name uncultured bacterium. RNAcentral's name for it is "partial 16S ribosomal RNA". It matches the Rfam family "Bacterial small subunit ribosomal RNA", at positions 28 to 507 of the family's 1533-position model. The record is from RNAcentral.